UAGGGAAUCUUCGGCAAUGGACGAAAGUCUGACCGAGCAACGCCGCGUGAGUGAAGAAGGUUUUCGGAUCGUAAAACUCUGUUGUUAGAGAAGAACAAGGACGUUAGUAACUGAACGUCCCCUGACGGUAUCUAACCAGAAAGCCACGGCUAACUACGUGCCAGCAGCCGCGGUAAUACGAAGGUGGCAAGCGUUGUCCGGAUUUAUUGGGCGUAAAGCGAGCGCAGGCGGUUUCUUAAGUCUGAUGUGUAAGCCCCCGGCUCAACCGGGGAGGGUCAGUGGAAGCUGUGUGACUUUAGUGCAGAAGAGGAGAGUGGAAUUCCAGGUGUAGCGGUGAAAUGCGUAGAUAUAUGGAGGAACACCAGUGGCGAAGGCGGCUAUCUUGUCUGUAACUGACGCUGAGGCUCGAAAGCGUGGGUAGCAAACAGG
This 429-nucleotide ribosomal RNA is filed under the name Gemmatimonadota bacterium. RNAcentral's name for it is "Gemmatimonadetes bacterium partial 16S ribosomal RNA". It matches the Rfam family "Bacterial small subunit ribosomal RNA", at positions 355 to 776 of the family's 1533-position model. The record is from RNAcentral. Lineage: Bacteria; Pseudomonadati; Gemmatimonadota.